UGGGGAAUUUUGGACAAUGGGCGAAAGCCUGAUCCAGCAAUGCCGCGUGUGUGAAGAAGGCCUUCGGGUUGUAAAGCACUUUUGUCCGGAAAGAAAUCCUUGGCUCUAAUACAGUCGGGGGAUGACGGUACCGGAAGAAUAAGCACCGGCUAACUACGUGCCAGCAGCCGCGGUAAUACGUAGGGUGCAAGCGUUAAUCGGAAUUACUGGGCGUAAAGCGUGCGCAGGCGGUUUGCUAAGACCGAUGUGAAAUCCCCGGGCUCAACCUGGGAACUGCAUUGGUGACUGGCAGGCUAGAGUAUGGCAGAGGGGGGUUAGAAUUCCACGUGUAGCAGUGAAAUGCGUAGAGAUGUGGAGGAAUACCGAUGGCGAAGGCAGCCCCCUGGGCCAAUACUGACGCUCAUGCACGAAAGCGUGGGGAGCAAACAGGAUUAGAUACCCUGGUAGUCCACGCCCUAAACGAUGUCAACUAGUUGUUGGGGAUUCAUUUCCUUAGUAACGUAGCUAACGCGUGAAGUUGACCGCCUGGGGAGUACGGUCGCAAGAUUAAAACUCAAAGGAAUUG
This 565-nucleotide ribosomal RNA is filed under the name uncultured bacterium. Its description in RNAcentral is "partial 16S ribosomal RNA". It matches the Rfam family "Bacterial small subunit ribosomal RNA", at positions 355 to 912 of the family's 1533-position model. The record is from RNAcentral.